This 46-nucleotide non-coding RNA is filed under the name Pelagomonas calceolata. The record is from RNAcentral. Lineage: Eukaryota; Pelagophyceae; Pelagomonadales; Pelagomonadaceae.
CCGGAAGCUAGCAGACCCCAGCGCGAGCAGGCUGUGUGGCGCUGGG